CCCCCCUCAUCUCCAAUCCCCAAAAUCAAAAUAUCCUAUAAAAUCAAAACCAAACCCUCUUUCUCACCUAAAACUAGAAUGUGUCUUCCAAUCUUGGAUCUUCAACAACAAUUCAAACAUUAGAAAAGGAAGUAAACAAAACCUUGAAAAAAUAAAAAUAAAAAAGCAUUUGAAUAGAACGAUGCAUAAAUUUCUGAUCCAUCUAACACAUCACAAGACAAACCCAAUCGAAUGCUCUACAAUACAUAGUUGAAUAGACGUAUAAAUCAAAACGGUAUAGUUGAAUAGACGUAUAAAUCAAAACGGCUCAACGAAUAGAAGACAUAAUAAUAGAUGAACUGACCCAUUCAGACUAACUCUAGUAUUUCGCGGGAGAGAAGGAAAAGGCCUAUCCCGCCGUUGAGGAGUCGA
This 411-nucleotide long non-coding RNA is filed under the name Actinidia chinensis (golden kiwifruit). RNAcentral describes it as "long non-coding RNA (ACHI_LNC000127)". The record is from RNAcentral. Lineage: Eukaryota; Viridiplantae; Streptophyta; Magnoliopsida; Ericales; Actinidiaceae.